CUCAGAUUGAACGCUGGCGGCAUGCUUUACACAUGCAAGUCGAACGGGUGAGGAGCUUGCUCCUCAUCUAGUGGCGAACGGGUGAGUAAUACAUCGGAACGUACCGUGUAGUGGGGAUAACGUAGCGAAAGUUACGCUAAUACCGCAUACGAUCCACGGAUGAAAGCAGGGGACCUUCGGGCCUUGUGCUAUACGAGCGGCCGAUGUCUGAUUAGCUAGUUGGUGGGUAAAGGCCCACCAAGGCAACGAUCAGUAGUGGGUCUGAGAGGAUGAUCCGCCACACUGGGACUGAGACACGGCCCAGACUCCUACGGGAGGCAGCAGUGGGGAAUUUUGGACAAUGGGCGCAAGCCUGAUCCAGCCAUGCCGCGUGUCUGAAGAAGGCCUUCGGGUUGUAAAGGACUUUUGUCAGGGAGCAAAACCCAGCAGCUAAUAUCUGUUGGGGAUGAGAGUACCUGAAGAAUAAGCACCGGCUAACUACGUG
This 484-nucleotide ribosomal RNA is filed under the name uncultured bacterium. Its description in RNAcentral is "bacterial SSU rRNA". It matches the Rfam family "Bacterial small subunit ribosomal RNA", at positions 23 to 507 of the family's 1533-position model. The record is from RNAcentral.